Molecule: long non-coding RNA, 620 nt
Filed under: Equus caballus (horse)
Lineage: Eukaryota; Metazoa; Chordata; Mammalia; Perissodactyla; Equidae
Description: lncRNA (ENSECAG00000028075.3)
Source: RNAcentral
CAGUUGGCUCAUGGGUGGCCAGUUCACAACUCUUACAAUCACCUUGCUUUACAGAUGGGGAAACAGAGCCAGAGAGCAUGCCGGGAAGUGGGUAGCGUAUGGCAGUGUUAGAGCCCACGUCUUCUGAAGUCCACUCUUCUUCCCAGCACACCGUGAAACUUUGGCACAUUUCCCUUUGAAGUUCCACUGCAUUUAUUCCAGAAGAAAGGAGUUUAUUCACCCAGACAAAAGUAUACACUGAAAUGUCUAAGGUGUCCUCGCAAGUGGCAAAAAUUGAGGCUGGACAUUUCCCCUGGCCCAGUGGACAGCUACUGUGCUGGCCAGGUUCUGCAACCUUCCUUGCUAGGAGAAAGGAUAAAGAAAGAGAAGUUGAAAAAUCCUGUAUCAGAAAAGAAGUUCAUGGGCUAUGGGAACCAAUUUGGGGUUACCUCUGGGGAAUUAGAGAUGUUUGCUGUGCAUGUUUCCUGGAGGAUCAAAUUGCAACUGUAAGUAAAUGUUUGAGGAUCCACGUGAACAGAGGACUGAGAAGAGAAACAAGGCAGGCUCUUAGUGCCUCAGUGCACUUUCCUUUUCUCAUCAUCCACUAAAUUAUGAAUUUAAUGAAGUUACUCAGAUACCUA